Musca vetustissima is the source of this 727-nucleotide long non-coding RNA. RefSeq lists it as uncharacterized. Lineage: Eukaryota; Metazoa; Arthropoda; Insecta; Diptera; Muscidae. The transcript has 4 exons. The record is from RefSeq and is a predicted model, not a curated record.
UGCUCCCAAUCUUUCAAUUGACUUGCAUAGCGAAUUGUCUGCAAAAAUCUUACAAAUAGUUAACACUUAUAACUGAAAUAAAUAAAAACAAUUCGUUAUGUUAUUGACUAACGAUGAACAUAAAAUAAACAAAAUAAAGUAUUGUCUUGGUGAAAAAGUUUGGUGUUGAAUCUUGCCCCGAAUCAUUGUCAAAUCUUAUGUUUAUGAUACCUAUAGUAGAAAGUGCUGUUUGUAUUUCUGUUUGCAGGUGGUAAAAUGGAUUCCAAUACAGAAUCAAACUGUCGACGAAACAUACUCCAAUACGUGGACCUAUAAGAAAUAACCACUCUGGGAGUUUUGAGGAUGAUACCACCUGUAUUGAACGAAAUAUCCAAUUUAAGAGGGUAAUGGUCAGAAAAUGAGGAACUACUGGUUAUUCUGUAGUUGCCUGCAUCUGUAUCUAUAAGAUUUUGGGCAGAAAGUGAUCCAAAUAAGAUGGUCCAUUAGGAUAUGAAGGAGAAGAGUCACAUAUUCGAGUAACGUCUGUGGCAUUAUCAAGCAACCAAUUGUAAAGUGUCCUUCCGUUGGUGUUGUCCAUUAUAUCACCCCAUGUCGUGUGCCUAGAAUUAUGAUCUCCUCCAAAAAUAAAUCCAUCAUAAUUAUUAGUAAACUGCAGACAAUUAUUUAGACCAUUGAUUAACUGUUGUGUGUUGAAAUUGGUUGAGAUAUACAGUGAACCUAGUAAAAA